Long non-coding RNA from Vigna radiata var. radiata (mung bean), 708 nucleotides. RefSeq lists it as uncharacterized. The transcript is spliced from 5 exons. The record is from RefSeq and is a predicted model, not a curated record. Lineage: Eukaryota; Viridiplantae; Streptophyta; Magnoliopsida; Fabales; Fabaceae.
GGCCAUUCCACUCCGAAUGAAAUGGAACCAAUGAUUGUGUGUUUCCUAGGAAAAACUAACUAGAACGAUAGCUGAAACAAAUGACACUACAGAGUUGACAUUUUGGCUGUCUAAUUCUAUUGUGCUGAGAACAAUUAUAAGCAAAACUACCAAAGACAUGACACCAUCUAAUACUUCUGGAUCUAGAACAAAAAGGAAGAAUGGAGAGGUGAAAGUUGGAAAGGUAACACAACCACUAAUAUGGAGAGGGUUCUCUCCUAGGAAAAACGAUUACAUGGCUUUUGAGAAUGGAGGGUAUCUCCGUGGAUGCAUGUGGGUGUUUCAAAACAGCAAGGAAUUUUUUCACCAUAUUUGGAAUGAAAACGAAAAGGCAGAGAAGUAUGUCAUAACACCACCUACNAUGACUCUACAUAAUUGCUUUCUUGAUGUAUUGUAGCUUGUGCAGAAAAGUUUUGGCCGGCUAUACUUUAAUGACUUCAUGAGAAAUCUCAGUUUUGUUAAUGAAGCUGUCANGGAGACCCUUGCACCAUAUGGUUCCUUAUCCUGUGAUGAGACACUACAUCUCUUUAUACAGCAUUUGCAUCUCUUCUAUUUAUGAAGCUUUUUUAAAUAUAUAACUGGGUAACUAUUAUGUUAUAUAGUAGGUAUCUCAUGAAGGAAAUGUGUCACAUAAUGAAUAUAACGAAGAAAAAGAACCUUAGAUAUCUU